GGGUGAGUAACGCGUAAGCAAUCUGCCCCAUAUCAGGAAAUACCCGUGCCAACGCGCGGUUAAUGUCCAGGAGAGUGGCCAGCUGCAUGGCUGGUUGACUAGAGAUUUAUCGGUAUGGGAUGAGCUUGCGUCCGAUUAGCUAGUUGGCGGGGCAACGGCCCACCAAGGCGACGAUCGGUAGCCGGCCUGAGAGGGUGAUCGGCCACAUUGGGACUGAGAUACGGCCCAGACUCCUACGGGAGGCAGCAGUAGGGAAUAUUGCACAAUGGGGGAAACCCUGAUGCAGCAACGCCACGUGUGGAAGAAGCAUUUCGGUGUGUAAACCACUGUCAUGAGGGAAUAAGGCCCUUAUUCGUAAGGGAUUGAAUGUACCUUGAGAGGAAGCACCGGCAAACUUCGUGCCAGCAGCCGCGGUAAUACGAGGGGUGCAAGCGUUGUUCGGAAUUACUGGGCGUAAAGGGAGCGUAGGCGGAGAUUCAAGCGGAUUGUACAAUCCCGGGGCCCAACCCCGGCUCUGCAGUCCGAACUGGAUCUCUUGGAUAGUUCAGGGGCAGGCGGAAUUCCUGGUGUAGCGGUGGAAUGCGUAGAGAUCAGGAAGAACACCGAUGGCGAAGGCAGCC
This 620-nucleotide ribosomal RNA is filed under the name uncultured bacterium. RNAcentral describes it as "bacterial SSU rRNA". It matches the Rfam family "Bacterial small subunit ribosomal RNA", at positions 104 to 726 of the family's 1533-position model. The record is from RNAcentral.